GUGAAUCAUCAAAUCUUUGAACGCAAAUUGCACUCUCUUCGGAGAUUAUGCCUGUUUGAGGGUCAGCGUAAUAAAAACCGACAUAGUUGCUGUUUUGCGGUGACAUUCGUCGGAACUUCAGCUAUUUUAAACCUGUGGGUUUUACGUGUCUUACUAUUUUCUUAACGAUUUCACGUAUGUUUCUAGGAUAUACUUACAGGU
Molecule: unclassified non-coding RNA, 201 nt
Filed under: Glomus sp.
Lineage: Eukaryota; Fungi; Glomeromycota; Glomeromycetes; Glomerales; Glomeraceae
Description: partial contains 5.8S ribosomal RNA and internal transcribed spacer 2
Rfam family: 5.8S ribosomal RNA (bases 1-65)
Source: RNAcentral